Non-coding RNA from Leptonychotes weddellii (Weddell seal), 2133 nucleotides. Lineage: Eukaryota; Metazoa; Chordata; Mammalia; Carnivora; Phocidae. The record is from RefSeq and is a predicted model, not a curated record.
GGUUUCUCACUCUCUCUAAGCUCUGCUUUUGGCCAUGUUGACCUCACGCUCAGACAGGCCUUCUCUUCCUGGUAGCAAGAUGGCUGUCGUAGUCCAGUGGCAGGCAGACGGUCUCCAGGACUGCAUUCUUAACCACGACACCAGACUUCCUCCUGUGUAAAGGAGCUUAUACUUUAUCCUGAGGAGACAAGUUCUUGUAUGGAGAUGGGGACUCCGAGGCUCCGAGAUGCGAAAGAGCCUGGUUACAAGGCCUCGUGUGGCUCAUUAUUAUGUGACAUUACCUCCCCGGGGAUGCGGCUGAAGAUGGAGUUAAGAAAUGAUAAAAGAGAAGCUCUGCGGCUUUGUUCUAUUAGCAAGACCGGAUGGAGUGUUUGUGAAACAGCAGUGAAAUCUCUUGGAACAAAAUGAGAUCACUCUUGCAAUGGUUCUGCUCCAAAGCAUAUUUAUAAGCAACACCUGCCGCCUCACGAGACUUGCCACGUCACGUCAGUUUGGCCUUCAGUGUUCUCAAUAACUCUUAAUGUGGCAGGCGAUUCUGGGUCUGAUUUUGCACCCGGGAGAGCGAAGUAUCUGAGAUGACACCACAGGCCAAUUAUUGAGCCAGGCCCCAGACCAAGCUUCCUGGCCCUGACUCCGGUUCUUUUUCCAGUUCCUCUGCAGUUAAACAGGAGGUCAGACUGGUGCGGCUAAAAACGGCUUGAGAAUUCAGCUCUGGCCAACACGUGUUAUCGGGAGUCUUUCUCAAAUGUGAUCUCAUUUAUAUGCGGGUGGGGCCAUGGAGACAUUGAAGGAUUGAGACUGUGAUCUUUGGCACCCAUCCUUCCCUCCAGUUACAUGACGAAGACUUUCCCCAUUCACGGAACCCAGCCAAGGAAAGAUGGGGUUGGAUGCAGAGCACCGCGGGUAAAUCGGGGGUCCCUGAUGCUGCAAGCUUCCGACAACCACCACGAAAAAUGCACUAGGUUCUGGAAUCCUUGGAUACUGCUUAAGAGCUCAUCUGGCUCUUCAGAAUCAGACACAAAAAUCAAUGACACGUGUCCUUGAAGAAAUGAAAGCCCACAGGCUUUUAGCUUUGCCGAGUUAAGAUUUUCCUCAAGUGUUCCUCAGCCUGCAGCUGGUAUUUAGCCUUCUUAAGUGAGCCCUUCAGCCCCAGUGCAAUAUCAACGGACAGAACUGAGUGGCCACCGGAGAGUCCCCUCCUCUCCGUCCCUCUGCCUUCUCUCAACUCUGGGGCCGGAAGCCAAUGGCCUCAAAUAAAUCCUCUCAGUUUACAAGACCUGGUGAGUGUAAACAUCACUUACCGGAGCCAUUCGCCUGUUAAUGCCUUUUGCGUGGGUCCAUAUCUGAGUUGGCGAUCUCUUGCAAACUCCAAAGAGUCAUGAAGAAAGGAAAACAUUUCCUAAGGGUAAGUGAUAUAAUGCUACUGACUGAGUCGUCUCCCUUUGGAAUAUGUUGAAGCCCCCGUAUCCAGGUCUGUGGAGACGGGGCAUCUGGGGACGUAAUUAGGUUUAGGUGACAUCAUGAGGAGAGAACCCUCAUGGUGGGAUUAGUGCCCUUCGAAAAAGAGACACCAAAGAGCGUGAUUCCUCCCUCUUUCUCUCUCUCCACCUGCCUGCACGGAGACACGGCAAGAAGGCAACUGUGUGCAACACAAAGAUCGAGCCCUUGCCAGAUGCUGAGCCUGCUGGACGUCCAGUCUCCAGCACUGUGAGAAAUAUAUUCCCGGUGUUGGGGCCACCCAGGCUUAAGUCUUGUGUGGUGUCCGCACUGAAGAAGAUAGGUCAUAUAGGGGAAAGGGAUGAAAUGUAGCACCAGAAAACCUGGCUCAUCUCUUGUUCUUACUUAACCUCUUUGUGCCUCAGUUUCUUUAUCUGCAGAAUGGGGGAAUAGAAGUCCCCUCAUGGCCAACAUCACGAGGUCGUUGUGAGAAUCCAGCCAGAGGAGGUUUGGGAAGGGUUUUGUAAACUGCCAACAGAACGGCUUUUUUGCUCUUCUGUUGGAGAUCUUUAAUAAUGUGUUGCUGGGAAUCUGCCACUACAGUUGAAAUCCCAAAAUUGUUUAGGCAAAAGAAGUAAAAAUAAAAAUGGGAAAAGAGGUAGGUUAAGAGCUCUACAUUUUUUUUUCUUUUAAAUG